ACGAACGCUGGCGGCGUGCUUAACACCUGCCAGUCGAACGGAAAGGCCCUGCUUUUGUGGGGUGCUCGAGUGGCGAACGGGUGAGUAACACGUGAGUAACCUGCCCUUGACUUUGGGAUAACUUCAGGAAACUGGGGCUAAUACCGGAUAGGAGCUCCUGCUGCAUGGUGGGGGUUGGAAAGUUUCGGCGGUUGGGGAUGGACUCGCGGCUUAUCAGCUUGUUGGUGGGGUAGUGGCUUACUAAGGCUUUGACGGGUAGCCGGCCUGAGAGGGUGACCGGCCGCAUUGGGACUGGGAUACGGCCCAGGCGCCUACGGGCAGCAACAGUGGGGAGUAUUGAACAGUGAACGGAAGCCUGUUGCAGCAACGCCGCGUGCGGGAUGACGGCCUGCGGAUUGUAGACCGCUUUCGCCUGUGACGAAGCGUGAGUGACGGUAAUGGGUAAAGAAGCACCGGCUAACUACGUG
This 467-nucleotide ribosomal RNA is filed under the name uncultured bacterium. Its description in RNAcentral is "partial 16S ribosomal RNA". It matches the Rfam family "Bacterial small subunit ribosomal RNA", at positions 29 to 507 of the family's 1533-position model. The record is from RNAcentral.